UAUGGCAGAUUAGUGCAUUGGACUUAAAAUCCUUUAAUAAAGAUUUAUCUUUUAUUAAAA
This 60-nucleotide transfer RNA is filed under the name Crematogaster sp. G SPQ-2003. Its description in RNAcentral is "tRNA-Leu". Lineage: Eukaryota; Metazoa; Arthropoda; Insecta; Hymenoptera; Formicidae. The record is from RNAcentral.